RNAcentral lists this long non-coding RNA (1702 nucleotides) under Homo sapiens (human). RNAcentral's name for it is "HSALNT0065915". Lineage: Eukaryota; Metazoa; Chordata; Mammalia; Primates; Hominidae. The record is from RNAcentral.
CCAGGACGCAGCAGCUGAACUUUUUCUUCAGAGACAAGGUCUUGCUUUGUCACCCAGGCUGGAGUACACAGUGGCACAAUCUCUGUUCACCGCAACCUCCACCUCCCAGGUUCAAGCGAUUCUCCUGCCUCAGCCUCCCGAGUAGCUGGGAUCACAGGCGUGCACCACCACGCCCUGCUAACCACCUAUGAAAAAUUCUUGCCCAAAAUGUUUAAUCUGUAUAUUAUCAAGCUGUCAUACACAAUUCCAGUUUUUAGGAAAUACAGAAGAAAGAAGAACAAGUCAAAUAGCGCCAAAGGAAAAUUAUCAGACAAAUCCAGAAGGUAGGACUUCCUAUGGGACAACUGAACUGGUUUCAUCAACAAGUAAAUGGGAAUAAAAAACAAAUGGCUUCGCAGAUAUAAUAAUAUGUAAUACGUACACCUUGUCUGAAUCUUGGUUUGAUUCACCUUGGGGACAAAUGGGGAUAUUGGAACAUAGAUUGGUUAUUAUAUGGUAUUAAGAAAUUAUUGUUAAUUUUGUUAGGUGUAUAAAAGUAUUGUGGUUAUAUAAAGAAAAAGUCCUAUGCAUGUGAAGUAGUAAGAGAUGAAAUCUACUUUAAAAAUCUACUUUAAAAUACUCCAGCCAAAAAAUAGAUUCAGCAAAUAUGAAAAUAAUGCAAUGUCAUUUUUUGGAUGUAUUCAAAUUAAGCUAUGUAACAAGACUGAUUUUCAAACUCCUUUCUUCUUAGACAGUGAUAUAGUUUGGGAGUGGGGAGAGUUUUAAAGAGCUUGAAGAAAAAAGUCACGAUAGACAAUUGUUUCUGUUUUACUCAAGGAAUUAACUAAAAGAUAUAUGACUUUAGAGAAGUCAUAUAUUGAGCCACUUAUUGCAUGAGUUCUAAAUAAACUCCACUUCCCUGCCCUGACCCUAAACCUCUUGACCUCAUUUCUCUUCUUUAAAAUGCCUUAUUUCUCUUUCCUUUACAGUAAAACUCCUUGAAAGACAGUCCAUAGUCUUGUUUGCAAUAGCUAUCUUCCCACUCUCACUUGAACCCACUCCAACCAGGCCUCCCCAUCUCCAUGAACCUGAUCUUGUCAGAGUCACAAGGACCUCCACGAUCUCCACAUUGCUAACCAAAUGGUCAAUGUUCAGUCUUCAUCUUAUUCAGCUCAUCAGCAGUCCAUAACUUCCUCUUCCUUGAUGCAUAUUCUUCACCUAGCUUCCAAAACCUAUACUUCUCCUGGCUUUUCUCUGCCUUACCGGUAAUGCCUUACUGGUCUCGUUGCUGGCUCCUUCUCUUCUGCCCCACUUUAUGCACAGAAAUGCCCUAGACCUGCCCUUUCUCUACCUAUACUCACCCUCUACUGCUUGUGAGCAUCUUGCGGUCAGCUCUCCACCUACCCAGCCCCCUGCAGUUUGAGCUCAAUACCUGUUUGUUGAAGUGCACUGAGUCCGGAAAGUCGGUUCUGUCAGUGAGCUUCUACAGAAAGGAAGCCUUUGAAAAUUUUUUUUGAGAAAAGAAGACGGGGCAAGAAGGGGGGCCGGAAUAAAACACUGCACUCACUUCACUAUUUACCCUCUUAUCUGUUAUCUGUAGAGAGGAGGCAACACUGAGGAGCACAGUGAUUCUCAGACUUAGAGCACACCCAAAUUAUUAAAAUCACUUGUUAAAAUGCGGGUUCCUGAAUUCUGUCUCAAUCAUUCUGAUUCAAGUAGUCUG